Molecule: ribosomal RNA, 473 nt
Filed under: uncultured bacterium
Lineage: Bacteria
Description: bacterial SSU rRNA
Rfam family: Bacterial small subunit ribosomal RNA
Source: RNAcentral
ACCCUACGGGAGGCAGCAGUAGGGAAUCUUCCACAAUGGGCGCAAGCCUGAUGGAGCGACACCGCGUGAGUGAAGAAGGGUUUCGGCUCGUAAAGCUCUGUUGUUAAAGAAGAACACGUAUGAGAGUAACUGUUCAUACGUUGACGGUAUUUAACCAGAAAGUCACGGCUAACUACGUGCCAGCAGCCGCGGUAAUACGUAGGUGGCAAGCGUUAUCCGGAUUUAUUGGGGCGUAAAGAGAGUGCAGGCGGUUUUCUAAGUCUGAUGUGAAAGCCUUCGGCUUAACCGGAGAAGUGCAUCGGAAACUGGAUAACUUGAGUGCAGAAGAGGGUAGUGGAACUCCAUGUGUAGCGGUGGAAUGCGUAGAUAUAUGGAAGAACACCAGUGGCGAAGGCGGCUACCUGGUCUGCAACUGACGCUGAGACUCGAAAGCAUGGGUAGCGAACAGGAUUAGAUACCCUGGUAGGAUAGCG